UAGAGUGUAGAGGUGGCAGGGUAGCCUAGUGGUUAGAGUGUAGAGGUGGUAGGGUAGCCUAGUGGUUAGAGUGUAGAGGUGGCAGGGUAGCCUAGUGGUUAGAGUGUAGAGGUGGCAGGGUAGCCGAGUGGUUAGAGUGUAGAGGUGGCAGGGGAGCCUAGUGGUUAGAGUGUAGAGGUGGCAGGGUAGUCUAGUGGUUAGAGUGUAGAGGUGGCAGGGUAGCCUAGUGGUUAGAGUGUAGAGGCGGCAGGGUAGCCUAGUGGUUAGAGUGUAGAGGUGGCAGGGUAGCCUAGUGGUUAGAGUGUAGAGGUGGCAGGGUAGCCUAGUGGUUAGAGUGUAGAGGUGGCAGGGUAGCCUAGUGGUUAGAGUGUAGAGGUGGCAGGGUAGCCUAGUGGUUAGAGUGUAGAGGCGGCAGGGUAGCCUAGUGGUUAGAGUGUAGAGGUGGCAGGGUAGCCUAGUGGUUAGAGUGUAGAGGUGGCAGGGUAGCCUAGUGGUUAGAGUGUAGAGGUGGCAGGGUAGCCUAGUGGUUAGAGUGUAGAGGUGGCAGGGUAGCCUAGUGGUUAGAGUGUAGAGGUGGCAGGGUAGCCUAGUGGUUAGAGUGUAGAGGUGGCAGGGUAGCCUAGUGGUUAGAGUGUAGAGGUGGCAGGGUAGCCUAGUGGUUAGAGUGUAGAGGCGGCAGGGUAGCCUAGUGGUUAGAGUGUAGAGGCGGCAGGGUAGCCUAGUGGUUAGAGUGUAGAGGUGGCAGGGUAGCCUAGUGGUUAGAGUGUAGAGGUGGCAGGGUAGCCUAGUGGUUAGAGUGUAGAGGUGGCAGGGUAGC
Oncorhynchus keta (chum salmon) is the source of this 817-nucleotide long non-coding RNA. RefSeq lists it as uncharacterized. NCBI's taxonomy places the organism in Eukaryota, Metazoa, Chordata, Actinopteri, Salmoniformes, Salmonidae. The transcript has 3 exons. The record is from RefSeq and is a predicted model, not a curated record.